CCUACGGGAGGCAGCAGUGGGGAAUGUUGGACAAUGGGCGCAAGCCUGAUCCAGCCAUGCCGCGUGUGGGAAGACGGCCUUCGGGUUGUAAACCACUUUUGGAGAGAACGAAAAGUCUAUUGAUAAUACCGAGAGAUGAUGACGGUACAAGAAGAAGAAGCACAGGCUAACUCCGGGCCAGCAGCCGAGGUAAGACGUAGGGUGCGAGCGUUAAUCGGAAUUACUGGGCGUAAAGGGUGUGCAGGCGGUUUUGCAAGAUGGAUGUGAAAGCCCCGGGCGUAACCUGGGAACGCCAUACCUGACUGCAAGACUAGCGUGCGUCAGAGGGGGGUGGAAUUCCAAGUGUAGCCGUGAAAUGCGUAGCUAUUUGG
This 371-nucleotide ribosomal RNA is filed under the name uncultured bacterium. RNAcentral's name for it is "partial 16S ribosomal RNA". It matches the Rfam family "Bacterial small subunit ribosomal RNA", at positions 338 to 701 of the family's 1533-position model. The record is from RNAcentral.